GCGAGUGAGACGAUGCGGUGACUCAUU
RNAcentral lists this small RNA (27 nucleotides) under Bombyx mori (domestic silkworm). Its description in RNAcentral is "ovarian small RNA-16842". The record is from RNAcentral. Lineage: Eukaryota; Metazoa; Arthropoda; Insecta; Lepidoptera; Bombycidae.